UAGAACUUACUCAUAAUGCAUGAAAAUUUUAAUUGUUCUACAACAAUUUGUUCGGUUUAGUAAAGGUGAUUUGCUUUAAGUAAUCAUGUCUAAUGAAGAACAAGUAAAUGUGUUACCAGAAAAAGAAAACGAAGAAGUUAAAAAACCUUCAAAGCAACCCGUUGAAAACUUUCGUUCUGCGGUGGAUUCCAUGAACCAAAAAAGACGCGAUUUAAUUAAAGAUAGUGCAGAUUUGGAAUCACCAAAACUUGUAAAAGUCGCUUGCCAAUUACAGAAGAAGUCUUAAUAAUUUAUUUUGAUUUUGAUACAAUUUAAUAUUUUUUAUAUGUAUUACUCAAUGAAUUGAUACAUAAAGUGAUAAGACAAAAUUAA
Onthophagus taurus is the source of this 372-nucleotide long non-coding RNA. RefSeq lists it as uncharacterized. The record is from RefSeq and is a predicted model, not a curated record. NCBI's taxonomy places the organism in Eukaryota, Metazoa, Arthropoda, Insecta, Coleoptera, Scarabaeidae.